CUACAAAGGAAUUGACGGGGGCCCGCACAAGCGGUGGAGCAUGUGGUUUAAUUCGACGCAACGCGAAGAACCUUACCAGGGCUUGACAUCCCCUGACCGCGUAUGAAAUACGUUUCACCUCGGGUGACAGGGAGACAGGUGGUGCAUGGUUGUCGUCAGCUCGUGUCGUGAGAUGUUGGGUUAAGUCCCGCAACGAGCGCAACCCCUACGUUUAGUUGCUAACGCGUGAAGGCGAGCACUCUAGACGAACUGCCGUUGACAAAACGGAGGAAGGUGGGGAUGACGUCAAAUCAUCAUGCCCCUUAUGUUCUGGGCUACACACGUGCUACAAUGGCCGGUACAGACGGACGCAAAGCCGCGAGGUGGAGCAAAUCCUAAAAAGCCGGUCUCAGUUCGGAUUGCAGGCUGCAAUUCGCCUGCAUGAAGUCGGAAUCGCUAGUAAUCGCAGGUCAGCAUACUGCGGUGAAUACGUUCCCGGGUCUU
This 483-nucleotide ribosomal RNA is filed under the name uncultured Pelotomaculum sp. RNAcentral describes it as "bacterial SSU rRNA". It matches the Rfam family "Bacterial small subunit ribosomal RNA", at positions 903 to 1382 of the family's 1533-position model. The record is from RNAcentral. Lineage: Bacteria; Bacillati; Bacillota; Clostridia; Eubacteriales; Desulfotomaculaceae.